RNAcentral lists this ribosomal RNA (330 nucleotides) under uncultured eukaryote. Its description in RNAcentral is "partial 18S ribosomal RNA". It matches the Rfam family "Eukaryotic small subunit ribosomal RNA", at positions 1470 to 1796 of the family's 1831-position model. The record is from RNAcentral.
CCCUUAGAUGUUCUGGGCCGCACGCGCGCUACACUGAUGCAUUCAACGAGUCUAAAACCUGGUCUGAUAGGGCUGGGUAAUCUUUUGAAAGUGCAUCGUGAUUGGGAUAGAUGAUUGCAAUUCUUCAUCUUCAACGAGGAAUGCCUAGUAAACGCAAGUCAUCAGCUUGCAUUGAUUACGUCCCUGCCCUUUGUACACACCGCCCGUCGCUCCUACCGAUUGAAUGAUCCGAUGAAUACCAUGGAUUGACAGUACGAAUGGGUUCGCUCAUUUCUGCUGCUCGAGAAGUGGAGUAAAUCUUAUCAUUUAGAGGAAGGAGAAGUCGUAACA